AGAUUUUUCAUCCACUGAUAUGCUGCCACGUCACCAUCAACAAUACAUAAGAAUUUUAGCCCAACAGGAUCGUGACACCUCAUCAGUCAAUGCCACAUCAUCGGUCAAUGCCACGUCAUCGAUCCGUCUAUGUGAACAGUGUUGUGAACAGUAACGUAGUUAGUACCGUACACGUGAAUAGUACCGUACAUAUGAAUAGUGCUAUUUUUCCUUUUAUGCUCCUCCUAAGGUUUUCGACCGUCCUGAGUUCAAAAGUGAUGUCCGUUUUGCCGUCUGAUUUCUCCUUUAUUGUGAAAUGACUAUAAUGCCCUUAAAAUACAUAAAAUACUUAAUUAAAAUAAAACACAUGUAAUUAAAUCACAAGAAGGUUAAAUACAUAAAAGUAAGGGUUGUUAGUAAGACUUGAAAUGUAAAAUAACGGUUUUCUCCUUUAUAAAUAUGCAUUUUCUAACACUCAACAGAUCCGUAUCAACAUGUAUCAUGGGAUAAAUAAUCCAUAUUAAUGCCAAUUAAAUCAUGAGGGGGGAAUCCACACUUCAUGAACCACGCUCUAAUCAAUAGGGUGCUAAGGGCUUAUCGUGCCAAAUAAUAAUAACCUUGUACUAGAGGGCCGGUGAAACUAAGGCGGUACUAGACAAGAUUAGUAUUAUUUGUCGACGAGAAGUCAAAAUAAGAAUUUUAGCCCAACAAUAUCGUGACACCUCAUCAGUCAAUGCCACAUCAUCGGUCAAUGCCACGUCAUCGAUCCGUCUAUGUGAACAAUGUCGUGAACAGUAACGUAGACAGUACCGUACACGUGAAUAGUACCGUACAUGUGAAUAGUGUCAUUUUUCCUUUUAUGCUCCUCCUAAGGUUUUCGACUGUCCUGAGUUCAAAAGUGAUGUCCGUUUUGCCGUCUGAUCUCUCCUUUAUUGUGAAAUGACUAUAAUGCCCCUAAAAUACAUAAAAUACUUAAAUAAAAUAAAACACAUGUAAUUAAAUCACAAGAAUGUUAAAUACAUAAAAGUAAGGGUUGUUAGUAAGACUUGAAAUGUAAAAUGACGGUUU
Molecule: long non-coding RNA, 1047 nt
Filed under: Citrus sinensis (sweet orange)
Lineage: Eukaryota; Viridiplantae; Streptophyta; Magnoliopsida; Sapindales; Rutaceae
Description: long non-coding RNA (CSIN_LNC003048)
Source: RNAcentral